This 113-nucleotide Y RNA is filed under the name Cebus imitator (Panamanian white-faced capuchin). Its description in RNAcentral is "Y RNA (ENSCCAG00000013234.1)". It matches the Rfam family "Y RNA". Rfam says of the family: Y RNAs are components of the Ro ribonucleoprotein particle (Ro RNP), in association with Ro60 and La proteins. Lineage: Eukaryota; Metazoa; Chordata; Mammalia; Primates; Cebidae. The record is from Rfam by way of RNAcentral.
GGCUGGUCUGAAGGUAGUGAGUUAUCUCAAUUGAUUGUUCACAGUCAGUUACAGAUCGAGCUCCUUGUUCUACUCUUUCCCCCCUUCUCACUACUGCACUUGACUAGUCUAAA